This 354-nucleotide long non-coding RNA is filed under the name Brassica rapa (field mustard). RNAcentral's name for it is "long non-coding RNA (BRAP_LNC001283)". Lineage: Eukaryota; Viridiplantae; Streptophyta; Magnoliopsida; Brassicales; Brassicaceae. The record is from RNAcentral.
UUUAAGCUCCAAAAUGCUCCAAAGUCAUAGCUUUACUCCGAAAUGCACCUGAACCUGAAAACAUACCUAGAAGAGUAAAAAACAUAGAUAUAUAUAUAUAGUAAAACACCUAUAUACCAUGGAUGAAAACGGGUCAAAUCCAAGGUAUAUCAGGGAGAAAGUCAGCCAACAGCCUAAAUUCAGGUUUGCUCUCCUAUUAUAUUUUAUUGGUCUUGUGAUAAUCUUCUAACAGCAUUGGUCUUGUGAUAAUCUUCUAACAUGAAUUUUGGCUCUUUUUCAGGUCUCAGGUUAUUAAGGAAUGUUAUUAUUAUGGAUCAUUUCUUUUGGUAUCGUAUUUUCAAGAACAAGACAGCC